GGUAGCUCAGUGGUAGAGUACUUGCCUAGAAUGCAUGAGGCCCUGGGUUCGAUUCCUCAGUACCA
Molecule: transfer RNA, 65 nt
Filed under: Dipodomys ordii (Ord's kangaroo rat)
Lineage: Eukaryota; Metazoa; Chordata; Mammalia; Rodentia; Heteromyidae
Rfam family: tRNA
About the family: Transfer RNA (tRNA) molecules are approximately 80 nucleotides in length. Their secondary structure includes four short double-helical elements and three loops (D, anti-codon, and T loops).
Source: Rfam by way of RNAcentral